GCUUUCAUCACAAACUUAUACUUCCACCCAUCUGUUCACAAAGGAGAAAGGGAGAAGAGGCGGGCACAUGCAGUCGGCCAUCACCCUUUAUAUCUGCUCCUCCUCUUCCUCUGCUCUCUUUGUCCUGUACCUCUCUCCCCAUCGCCUCCUCCUCCUCCUCCUCUCCCUCCUCCAGCCCGUUUCUGCCCUCCUCUUCUCCUCCUUUCAUCUUCAGAUAGAGGCAGAUUGGAGCUCAGCUUCCUCUUAAGGCCCAGCAGGUGUGUGGUGUGUCUAAUUGCACAUGAGUGUGUGUGAGUGUGCUAAAUGUGCUUUAAAGUCCUGCACAUAAGAGCUUUUUUCCCUCUGAAGUCACAUCGUGCCUGCGUUUGUAACUACAGUAUGUUUGUUAGCUGUGUGUGUUUGUAUGUGUGUAUUGGAGAUAUCUUGUUUCCUCGAGGGAGUCCAGGCCCAUUUCCACUGUCUGCUGUAGCCAACCAACCCUGCAGUGCAUCGAUAAUCUAUUAGGCUAGAAACACACACACACACACACACACACACACACACACACCCACACACACACACACACACACACACAUUCCUCUUACCUGCCCCUGCUGAGCAUUCUCGGUGUGUACUGCCUGUUACUGGGUGGGCCAGAUAUUGCCUGAAAAGCAAGCAUACCACAAAUAGAAGAAUGAAUACACACAUGUAUCAGAGGCCUUGGCUAAUCUAUAUUGAAGGGAGUACAAUGCUUAAGAAGUAGACAAACAGCCAGACACUUCUAUUGCAUCACAUCCCUGUUGUGCAGACCUGCAUGUUCAAUGCAGCGAGCAAGAGGUUGUUGAAAAUUUCACCAUAAACCCAUGCGCACAAAAACAGUCUUUGGUGAAAGCUUUUCACAAGAGAUUGUGACCUUGCUGCUGUGACGACGACAUUAGACAACUCUUUCUUUAUGUACUUUGUAAACAGGAUCACACAAACUACAGCAAUUCAUUUAAUGUACUUUCUGCCACAUAUCUAAAAAAAUGAUGAAGCAAAAUCAUUCUAACGUCCAAAUCAGAACGAGUAUGUGUUGAUUGUGUCUUAAAUGUCAUGUACCAUGAAUGCAAAAAGCUUGCAGUGAAACAUUCAAAGACACUCAGGUAAUUGGAACACUUUUAUUAAAUGAGUGCGCUUGAAUGACACGUAUCACACGUCUACAAAAACACGUGAGUACAUAUCAAUCAAUCAUAGAGACAACAGCAGAAGCUAUGUAGAAGCACUAUCUGAUGUAAACCCCUUGUGCAUAUGAAAACAGACACUCUUGACCAACCAUGCAGUGGCAGUUAUUACAUACCACAUUGAACAAACACUCAUCAUAUCCUUAGACAUUCAGAGGCCCCCCCACACAUACACAAACGACUCACAAAUGCACACGCAAACAACACGCCACAGAGCCAGACAAAACACAUAAACAACAUACCAGCAUGAUGUAAGAAGGCGCAGUAUCAAAUACCACUGGAAUUAAAGCUAAAGCCUCCCCAAAGAUGCAGCUUGUUUACAAUAACACAGCCACGCACGGAUAGUGUAACCGCAGCUGAGAUACCCUGCUGCUGCCAAACUGUCUAUUUGUAGCCACGUUGAACACCACCAGGUUAUUUGUGCCAUAUACAGGGGCUCAAGUCAACAGGGAUUGUGGAAAUUAGUUUAAAUACCAUAUGAAAUUGUGUUUUGUUUUUUUUUGUUUACAAAAA
Gasterosteus aculeatus aculeatus (three-spined stickleback) is the source of this 1712-nucleotide long non-coding RNA. Lineage: Eukaryota; Metazoa; Chordata; Actinopteri; Perciformes; Gasterosteidae. The record is from Ensembl.